GAGCGCUCAACCACCUGAUCGCGGACAGCCUCGCCCACCCGGAGUUGAAGCGGGCUAAGGAGCAGACCGCCUCGGCGGAAGCGAAGAAGCGCGCCAUGAAGAGCCAGUACCUGCCGACCGUCUCGGCCAUCGCCAGCGGCGGCUACUAUGAUACGUUCGAUCCGAAUCGCAAUGUCACGACGGGCGGCUGGUGGGCGGCGGGCGGGUUGGUCUCGAUGCCGAUUUUCACGGGAGGCUUGCUCGAAAAUCAGGUGAAAGAGGCGGCGGCCCAGGAAGCCGCGGCCUUGGCGCAAAGCACCAACAUCGAGCAGGCGCUGACCCAGCAAGUAACGAACGCGUAUCUGGAUACGCUCACCUUUACGCA
Molecule: unclassified non-coding RNA, 364 nt
Filed under: uncultured fungus
Lineage: Eukaryota; Fungi
Description: sequence contains ITS1
Source: RNAcentral